Molecule: long non-coding RNA, 1445 nt
Organism: Helianthus annuus (common sunflower)
Lineage: Eukaryota; Viridiplantae; Streptophyta; Magnoliopsida; Asterales; Asteraceae
Exons: 3
Source: RefSeq, a predicted model, not a curated record
UGUGUGGCAUGUAAUGCUUAUGACAUGAUUUUUUCACACACACGUGUUGAGGGGGCUUCUUCCCCAAAUUCCUCACCUCUCACUCACAUUUUCCAGAUUCUAAAAGAUACUGAGAAAACCGGAGGAGAGAGAGGGUGGGGGGAGAUCGGAGAAGAGAUGGGAGAGAGAGACGGUGGAGAUCAGAGAAGAGAUGGGAGAGAGACACGGGGUAGGUUGCUGCCACGCCUCCAGCGGCAACGAGGGUGGUUAAACCAUCGGAAUCAGGGUCUGCCGCACAUGGGUCACCAGCGACGACAUGGGGUUCCGGUGAUGAACCAGGAGCUCCAGUUAAGACUGUGAGGUGCGAUUUCAGGUCUGAUUCAAGGGUGUUUUCUUUGGGUUGUUUGGGCAAACUAGCAGAUAAGGAUGAUAAGUUGCCGGGAGUGUACAAUGGUUACUUGAUUGUUAAAUGUUAAGUUCAGUCUUAUCGCAUUGGAUUUUAGGGGGUUUCGCAACGGCAUUUGAGGCCAUUAUCUUUAUUUGGUCCACAUCGUCAUUCUCAUAGAACAAAAAAGGGACAACAUGUGAACACAUGUUACUUGCACAUGAGGGGAUAAAUGCUGAGCAGCUGGCACCUAAUUUAAAAUCAUUUGAGUUGAAGGUAUUAGUUAGUUACUUGAGUUGUGUUGAUUUCUGUAAGAAAAGGAAAAAUGUUCAAGUUUUACUUAGAAAUUUGACGGUUGCCAACCACUGAAUUCUUUUUUUUUUUUUUUUUUUAUCAAUUACGGCAUUAGUAUAUAAACAUAUAGGAAUAGUUUUUCCAUAAAGUUGUCACUUGGUGUAGUGGAAACCAUGCUUCAUUGUAAGCCAAUGGACCUGGGUCCGAAUCCUAGCUACCCUAUUUGUUUUUAUACUUGUUAAAUUUACAAGCCUGAUUCCUACUUGCUGUGAAGUGUAUGCAAUUGGUGCAGCAAGUUUGAGUAGAAGUGUUAUGUCCAUGCAAUUGGUACAACUUAGUUAUAGGUUGAGUAUAAUGAAAAUUUUUAAAGAUCUCAACAUAAUGUAAACAAAACUACAGCGAUUUGGGAUUUUGUGGCUUCACGAAGCAGGUGCCAAAGGAAUUUUUUUAUCAGCCUAAAUGGUCUCUUUAAGACACACUUACAGUACAGGGGAACAUAAAAAUGGAAGUAGCUCCUUCAUUCAAUCAUGCAGGUAGCUAUUUGGGUCAUAUUAAGGUGACAAAAUAACUUGGUAAUCAAACAGAAGGAACCUAAUCUGGAAGGGGCGAAAGAACGGAUUAGACACUUGGGUCAGGAGUUGAGCAAAAGGAAUUAAAUGUCUCAUGGUCCUAAUGGUGUAGGAUGGAUGUUUCAAGUAUGGGUCAGUAAUGUUUGUGGUGUUUUGUAAUUGAUAUACUGCACUUGGUGUGGUCUAACAUUGUAAGCCCAAGAUUUAAUAAACUUUGU